This 353-nucleotide long non-coding RNA is filed under the name Homo sapiens (human). RNAcentral describes it as "HSALNT0064416". Lineage: Eukaryota; Metazoa; Chordata; Mammalia; Primates; Hominidae. The record is from RNAcentral.
GAACUAAGAGUAUUUUUAAUACAGUGCUGAAGAGCCAGCUGAACUGGCUUUGUAGAUCAUCCUCAGGAAACUGACGGUCAGGCCUCCUGUAUGACACCAGGGAGCUGAGGCUUUAUGGAUUGGAUCACUGCACCCAAUGAGACACACCUGCUGCCUGUCGAACCAACCCUCUUCCUAGCUCCUCCAUAAUUCCUUUUUUUCCUGCACGUGAUUACAGUGAGAUGCUAGAUCCCUCAUUCAGCUACCUGCUGCCUGUUGACCAGCUCCUCUUCCUCUCCCCCGGCCCUGGUUCUUCUUCCAAGCUAUUAGGUGAAAGCAAAAGUAAUUGCGGUUUUUGCAUUGUUGAAAUUUGC